UACGAAGGGGGCUAGCGUUGUUCGGAAUCACUGGGCGUAAAGGGCGCGUAGGCGGCUUUGUAAGUCAGGGGUGAAAUCCUGGAGCUCAACUCCAGAACUGCCUUUGAUACUGAGGAUCUUGAGUACGGGAGAGGUGAGUGGAACUGCGAGUGUAGAGGUGAAAUUCGUAGAUAUUCGCAAGAACACCAGUGGCGAAGGCGGCUCACUGGCCCGUUACUGACGCUGAGGCACGGAAGCGUGGGGAGCAAACAGG
RNAcentral lists this ribosomal RNA (253 nucleotides) under uncultured bacterium. Its description in RNAcentral is "partial 16S ribosomal RNA". It matches the Rfam family "Bacterial small subunit ribosomal RNA", at positions 524 to 776 of the family's 1533-position model. The record is from RNAcentral.